RNAcentral lists this long non-coding RNA (257 nucleotides) under Rattus norvegicus (Norway rat). RNAcentral describes it as "long non-coding RNA NONRATT025755". The record is from RNAcentral. Lineage: Eukaryota; Metazoa; Chordata; Mammalia; Rodentia; Muridae.
CCCCUCGGAGCUGGAAAUGCAACUCUUGGGAUCCUCGGAGGCUACCGAGCUGGAGGCGGAGGCGGCUGGGGAGGUCCGAGCGAUGUGACCAGGCCGCCAUCGCUCGUCUCUCUCUGUCUCUCCUGCCGCCUCCUGGCUUGAAAAUAACUUUUUUACUCUAAAGGAAAGAAAAAAAAUCCCCUAGAACCAGUAGCCGUCCGCGCCUCGCGCCCUCGCUUCCUCUCGGCCGUCGGGUCUGGGCGGGAGCCCGGGGUGGC